AGAGUUUGAUCAUGGCUCAGAUUGAACGCUGGCGGAAUGCUUUACACAUGCAAGUCGAGCGGCAGCGCGGGGCAACCUGGCGGCGAGCGGCGAACGGGUGAGUAAUGCAUCGGAACGUGUCCAUGUCGUGGGGGAUAGCCCGGCGAAAGCCGGAUUAAUACCGCAUACGCCCGAGAGGGGAAAGUGGGGGACCGCAAGGCCUCACGCGAUUGGAUCGGCCGAUGUCCGAUUAGCUAGUUGGCGGGGUAAAGGCCCACCAAGCCGACGAUCUGUAGCUGGUCUGAGAGGACGACCAGCCACACUGGGACUGAGACACGGCCCAGACUCCUACGGGAGGCAGCAGUGGGGAAUUUUGGACAAUGGGCGCAAGCCUGAUCCAGCCAUUCCGCGUGCAGGAUGAAGGCCUUCGGGUUGUAAACUGCUUUUGUACGGAACGAAAAGCCUUCUUCUAAUACAGGAGGGUCAUGACGGUACCGUAAGAAUAAGCACCGGCUAACUACGUGCCAGCAGCCGCGGUAAUACGUAGGGUGCAAGCGUUAAUCGGAAUUACUGGGCGUAAAGCGUGCGCAGGCGGUUAUGUAAGACAGUUGUGAAAUCCCCGGGCUCAACCUGGGAACUGCAUCUGUGACUGCAUAGCUAGAGUACGGUAGAGGGGGAUGGAAUUCCGCGUGUAGCAGUGAAAUGCGUAGAUAUGCGGAGGAACACCGAUGGCGAAGGCAAUCCCCUGGACCUGUACUGACGCUCAUGCACGAAAGCGUGGGGAGCAAACAGGAUUAGAUACCCUAGUAGUCC
RNAcentral lists this ribosomal RNA (792 nucleotides) under uncultured bacterium. Its description in RNAcentral is "bacterial SSU rRNA". It matches the Rfam family "Bacterial small subunit ribosomal RNA", at positions 8 to 796 of the family's 1533-position model. The record is from RNAcentral.